CCGGCGUCGCGUCAGGGCUGGCCGGCGGCGGAGGCGGCGGCGGCGGUGAUGGCAGCGGACCCUGAGCGAGCUUGAGGGCUCGGACCCAGCUCUCUCCUGCGAAACCUUGGGCCGAUCCGGCGCUGCGGCCCCAGCUCGCUCCGCUCCUGCUCCCUCCCCGGCCGCUGCCUGGGCGGAGGCAGAGGCAGAGGCCCGGGCUGGCCGCCCUGCUCGUGCCCCAGCUCGGCCCCGGACAGCCCGGCUGCUGUGCAGAGAGGAGGCCGAGUCGGUAGUGAAAAGAGAAUACUGAAGAAUAGGAUCUCAAGAUGAGUAAAAAGCCCCCAAAUCGCCCUGGAAUCACUUUUGAGAUUGGUGCUCGUUUGGAGGCACUGGACUACUUACAAAAAUGGUAUCCAUCACGAAUUGAAAAAAUUGACUAUGAGGAGGGCAAGAUGUUGGUCCAUUUUGAGCGCUGGAGUCAUCGUUAUGAUGAGUGGAUUUACUGGGAUAGCAAUAGAUUGCGACCCCUUGAGAGACCAGCACUAAGAAAAGAAGGGCUAAAAGAUGAGGAAGAUUUCUUUGAUUUUAAAGCUGGAGAAGAAGUUCUGGCUCGUUGGACAGACUGUCGCUAUUACCCUGCCAAGAUUGAAGCAAUUAACAAAGAAGGAACAUUUACAGUUCAGUUUUAUGAUGGAGUAAUUCGUUGUUUAAAAAGAAUGCACAUUAAAGCCAUGCCCGAGGAUGCUAAGGGGCAGGAUUGGAUAGCUUUAGUCAAAGCAGCUGCUGCAGCUGCAGCCAAGAACAAAACAGGGAGUAAACCUCGAACCAGCGCUAACAGCAAUAAAGAUAAGGAUAAAGAUGAGAGAAAGUGGUUUAAAGUACCUUCAAAGAAGGAAGAAACUUCAACUUGUAUAGCCACACCAGACGUAGAGAAGAAGGAAGAUCUGCCUACAUCUAGUGAAACAUUUGUAGGACUUCAUGUAGAGAACGUUCCAAAGAUGGUCUUUCCACAGCCAGAGAGCACAUUAUCAAACAAGAGGAAAAAUAAUCAAGGCAACUCAUUUCAGGCAAAGAGAGCUCGACUUAACAAGAUUACUGGUUUGUUGGCAUCCAAAGCUGUUGGGGUGGAUGGUGCUGAAAAAAAGGAAGACUACAAUGAAACAGCUCCAAUGCUGGAGCAGGCGAUUUCACCUAAACCUCAAAGUCAGAAAAAAAAUGAAGCUGACAUUAGCAGUUCUGCCAACACUCAGAAACCUGCACUGUUAUCCUCAACUUUGUCUUCAGGGAAGGCUCGCAGCAAGAAAUGCAAACAUGAAUCUGGAGAUUCUUCUGGGUGUAUAAAACCCCCUAAAUCACCACUUUCCCCAGAAUUAAUACAAGUCGAGGAUUUGACGCUUGUAUCUCAGCUUUCUUCUUCAGUGAUAAAUAAAACUAGUCCUCCACAGCCUGUGAAUCCCCCUAGACCUUUCAAGCAUAGUGAGCGGAGAAGAAGAUCUCAGCGUUUAGCCACCUUACCCAUGCCUGAUGAUUCUGUAGAAAAGGUUUCUUCUCCCUCUCCAGCCACUGAUGGGAAAGUAUUCUCCAUCAGUUCUCAAAAUCAGCAAGAAUCUUCAGUACCAGAGGUGCCUGAUGUUGCACAUUUGCCACUUGAGAAGCUGGGACCCUGUCUCCCUCUUGACUUAAGUCGUGGUUCAGAAGUUACAGCACCAGUAGCCUCAGAUUCCUCUUACCAUAAUGAAUGUCCCAGGGCAGAAAAAGAGGAUACACAGAUGCUUCCAAAUCCUUCUUCCAAAGCAAUAGCUGAUGGAAGAGGAGCUCCAGCAGCAGCAGGUAAAAGAAAAAAAAUAAAGGCUCUUAUAAGUAGAUAAGUAGCUAGGCUUGCAGUUAUUAGGUAUAAACAUUUUGAGGUUUAACUACAUUAUUUUGAUUCCUAUAUAAUUCCUUUUCAUAAAUACUUUAACAUUUAUAGGAGAGCUUCUUCUCUGUUUUAAAGGUCUUUUGUGUGAUCAUUUUACAAUCAUAUUCCCUGGACAUACAUGCUUCUUAACCUUGUCACUUGAUCUGUUUCCUUCUCCCUGCUUCUUUUUUAUAUAUCCUUAUUUCUACUAAAUAUAAAUUAUUAGAGCCAAGUAUAAUUACAGGAAUUCUUACUUUUGAAGCCAGGAAAUACUUAAUGGGAUCAGUACUUUGGUUUAAGGAUUUUGAUAGAAUUUAAUAUUUAAGAAACACUGAACUAUAUGCCUGUAUCUUAAGUAUAAUUCCAUAUUUUGGGGCAGAAUCCUCCAAAUUGAAUUAAAUUUGCUAUAAAGUUAUUUGAGGAGUGCAAGAUGUAAAAUCAGCCAUCCUUAAUAACACAUUUUUUGCAUGAUUUUGUGAUAUUUAUUGUAGUUCGAAAGCAUUUGGAUGUGUAUUUUACCAAGCUGAUAUUUUAAAUCUAACAGAAUAUCGAUUCAUGUUUCCUUUAUGUGGGUGCAUUGUUUUAUUUAGAAGUUUUUAAGAAUUAUAACCUGAUCCAGAAUACACAUAAUAAGAAAAGGCCAAUACUAGUUACAAAUGCACUUCUGGUAAAUUACUAUUGGAAUUAGAUGUUUGAAGGAAGUCUGAAUUUAGUUUGUUGUGAGUUGGAGAAAAACAUAAGGCAGUUUGUUGAUUUCGUUACCAAGGGUGUUGGUGAUCAUUGUGUUUACAGGCGUCUUCCCUGAAACCACUUUAUCCAUUUUUUGGAUGAAGCGUAAAAUGAAACUUAUUCUUUUAUGGUGAUGGCAUGUAUUGAAAUAAAAUGAUUGAAGUAACUUAAGAGACAUAUACUCAUUUUUAUUAAUUUUUAUCUUUAUAUAAAGGUUGAAGUUACUUUGUACAUGAUAAUUCUUUAUCAUGUUUAAAAAAAUAAAACAAUACCCAAAUCUGAAUAUUUGUAGAUUUUGAAACAUUUCCUGUAGUUUCUUAAAUCAAAUCUAUUGUCUUUUGACUCUUGGUCUUUCCUUAAGAUAAUUAAUUUUUCUUUUCCACUUUUCCACAAGAUUUCCAAAUUAUCAUUGACCCAUUGAGAUACUUUUUUGAUAAAGGGCUUAUUCAGUUUUUAACGAUCUGGAAUUUGUUACCGUACUGAAUAUAUGAAAAAUAUGUUAAAGUUAUAAGGUUGUAUAUCCAUUGGGAAAAUUAUUUUCAGAUGUACAUGUGAAAAUAUUUACAUUUUUCUUUAAAAGUAUUCUAAUACUAGUAACAAUAUUGAAAUAUAGGCCAAUAUAAGUAACUGU
This 3236-nucleotide small RNA is filed under the name Pongo abelii (Sumatran orangutan). RNAcentral describes it as "retained intron". The record is from RNAcentral. Lineage: Eukaryota; Metazoa; Chordata; Mammalia; Primates; Hominidae.